RNAcentral lists this unclassified non-coding RNA (954 nucleotides) under Hevea brasiliensis (rubber tree). The record is from RNAcentral. Lineage: Eukaryota; Viridiplantae; Streptophyta; Magnoliopsida; Malpighiales; Euphorbiaceae.
UUUUAUGGCCAAUCAAAGACUGGUGUGAGCAAUGAUGGCAUUGAUCCUUCAAGAUCACGUGGAGGCGUUCAUGAGAACUGCAUAAAGUACUGUCACUUAAACUGCUCUGUUACUUUUCUUCCUAUUACUUGUUAUUUUAAUUGGUUUGCUGAAGUUAUUCCUGUUUUGGUUAUAAAGUUUUGUCCUCUGAUAUAAAUCGUCCCUCCAACAUGUUGGAGUGCAGGAACAUUAUGCUUGUAGCAGGGACUAAUUUUUAUUGAUCACUUAAAAUUUUCUGUUCAAUUAGCCCAAACCCAAAUUCAAUUCACUGAUUUACACUGCCCCCAUAUGCAUGUUCAUGUGCUGUGUGGAGUGAAAACUAGUAGGAUUUGGAUCCUCUCAUUUUUGGCUAAACAUGACCUAUCAUGUUUGUGUAAUCUUAAUCCUUAGAUUGAAACAAAAUGAUUCAAAAAUUAAAAUGUAAUUUUUGGAGAAUAGGUGGUUAUAUGCUAAAUAAUGAAAUCUCAAUCAUUCAUUUUUAAUUGAAGGAUUGAUGAUUUGUGUAAAUAUGAUAAAUCAUAUUUGCACGAACAUGAGAGUAUCUUAAUCCAAAGGGGUGUGAUUUAGUUGGCCAUGAUGUCUUUAACCACCUUUAGAUUUUGUGGAGAUCAUUGAAUAAUGCUAUGUUUCUUGGAGCUAUAGUUGCGUUGUGUCUCUUGGGGAGGAGGGCAGUUCCAGAACGCUGCGCUUCAGCACUUCAGGAUUAGAUGGGAGAGUGGUUAUCUGGGCUCUGGAGAACCAGGAAGAUCUAUCCGAAUAUCUGUGAAGGAUUUCAUAUUUUUCAAGCCCGUAUCUGGGAAUAUCUUUGAGCAAGUAUUGAAUACUGGAAUAUGCUUUUUUAUAUCAUCAAUUGGCCAGGAGCCCUCAAACUCAGCUAUGUAUAAACUCACGUGGUGCCAAGAUAAUAUUAGCUUU